AUGGCAUGUGUUACGUCUGUCAGAUACUCAGUGAAGUUUAAUGGCAGGUUACUGGAAUCAUUUUCCCCGUCAAGGGGCUUGCGGCAAGGUGACCCCCUGUCCCCCUUUCUGUUCUUAUUUGUGGCUGAUGCCCUUUCUGCCUUGAUCAGUAAUUCUAUGCGGGAAGAGGGCUUGCAAGGGGUGAAUAUUUGUCGCGGAGCUCCUGUGAUUUCUCAUCUUCUUUUCGCGGAUGAUUCGCUGUUAUUUUUUCAUGCUACCGAACAACAAGCGGCACUGGUUAAAGAUUUGUUGAACACCUUCGAGAUGGCCACGGGCCAGUUGAUAAACCCUUCAAAGUGUUCCAUUCUUUUUUUAGACAAUUGCUUGGCGGCUACAGCGGCAAAUAUCAAGAGCUUGUUGGAGAUCACUCAGGAAGUGUUUGAGCCUAGAUACCUAGGUCUUCCAGUUCCAGAAGGGAAAAUGCACAAAGGCAAGUUUGAAACAAUACAAGAACACCUAAGGAAGAGACUAAUUGAUUGGAGUGAGAAAUAUAUGUCAUCAGGUAACAAAGAAAUCUUAAUAAAGUCUGUAGCUCAAGCUAUUCCAGCUUAUGUUAUGAGUGUGUUUAAGUUGCCAGCCUCGGUUUGUGAUGAGCUCACCCGUAUGAUGCGUCAAUACUGGUGGGGAGAGGAGAAUGGGAAGAAGAAAAUGGCAUGGACAAGUUGGGACAAAAUGAUUCUCCCCAAAGCUAUGGGGGGCAUGGGCUUCAGGGAUAUGCGAGUGUUCAACCAAGCGCUGCUGGCCAAGCAAGCGUGGAGGCUCCUUGUCUCUCCUGACAGCCUAGUUGCGAGACUAAUGAAGGCAAAAUAUUACCCUCAAGGUCAGUUAUUGGAUACAGUAUUUUCAAUCUCUGGAUCAGCUGUGUGGAAAGGCAUUCUGCAUGGUUUGGAGCUGCUCACAAAAGGUGUCAUAUGGCGGGUGGGGGACGGGGAGCUUAUUCGGACAUGGCGAGACCCUUGGAUCCCAAGGCCUUCUUCCUUCCGGCCGAUCACCCCAAAAGGCUCCUGCCGUCUCAAUCGUGUUUCUGCAUUUCUAAAUGCUAACGGGGCAUGGAGGGUUGAUCGCCUCCGUGAAUUUUUUUGGGAGAUGGAUGUUCAGCAUAUCCUCAAGAUCCGUACCUCUCCAAGACAGCGAUCUGAUUUCAUCUCGUGGUUCCAAGAGAAGAGUGGCGUUUUCUCUGUCAGAAGUGCAUACAGAUUAGCUACAUACGAUCACAAUACAACAUUUUCUGAAGGGGCAACAAGCGCGUCAGCGAGCGGUUCCCGUUCCUUAUGGAACUGCGUAUGGCAAGCAUCAGUCUCGCAG
Molecule: ribosomal RNA, 1344 nt
Filed under: Triticum aestivum (bread wheat)
Lineage: Eukaryota; Viridiplantae; Streptophyta; Magnoliopsida; Poales; Poaceae
Description: partial small subunit ribosomal RNA
Source: RNAcentral